GCGCCCGUGGCGGAAUUGGUAGACGCGCUAGACUUAGGAUCUAGUUUCUUGCGAAGUGCAGGUUCGAGUCCUGUCGGGCGCA
This 82-nucleotide transfer RNA is filed under the name Prevotella sp. RNAcentral describes it as "tRNA-Leu". It matches the Rfam family "tRNA". Rfam says of the family: Transfer RNA (tRNA) molecules are approximately 80 nucleotides in length. Their secondary structure includes four short double-helical elements and three loops (D, anti-codon, and T loops). Lineage: Bacteria; Pseudomonadati; Bacteroidota; Bacteroidia; Bacteroidales; Prevotellaceae. The record is from RNAcentral. RNAcentral also lists the same sequence under 2 other names.